GUGAGGUAAUGGCUUACCAAGGCGACGACGGGUAGCCGGCCUGAGAGGGCGAUCGGCCACACUGGGACUGAGACACGGCCCAGACUCCUACGGGAGGCAGCAGUGGGGAAUAUUGCACAAUGGGCGAAAGCCUGAUGCAGCGACGCCGCGUGAGGGAUGAAGGCCUUCGGGUUGUAAACCUCUUUCAGCAGGGAAGAAGCUGUCGGGUUUUCUCGGUGGUGACGGUACCUGCAGAAGAAGCACCGGCUAACUACGUGCCAGCAGCCGCGGUAAUACGUAGGGUGCAAGCGUUGUCCGGAAUUAUUGGGCGUAAAGAGCUUGUAGGCGGUUUGUCGCGUCUGCUGUGAAAUUUCGGGGCUCAACCCCGAACUUGCAGUGGGUACGGGCAGACUAGAGUGUGGUAGGGGAGACUGGAAUUCCUGGUGUAGCGGUGAAAUGCGCAGAUAUCAGGAGGAACACCGAUGGCGAAGGCAGGUCUCUGGGCCACUACUGACGCUGAGAAGCGAAAGCAUGGGGAGCGAACAGGAUUAGAUACCCUGGUAGUCCAUGCCGUAAACGUUGGGAACUAGGUGUGGGUCUCAUUCCACGAGAUCCGUGCCGCAGCUAACGCAUUAAGUU
This 618-nucleotide ribosomal RNA is filed under the name uncultured Actinomycetes bacterium. RNAcentral describes it as "bacterial SSU rRNA". It matches the Rfam family "Bacterial small subunit ribosomal RNA", at positions 252 to 866 of the family's 1533-position model. Lineage: Bacteria; Bacillati; Actinomycetota; Actinomycetes. The record is from RNAcentral.